UGGGGAAUUUUGGACAAUGGGCGAAAGCCUGAUCCAGCAAUGCCGCGUGUGUGAAGAAGGCCUUCGGGUUGUAAAGCACUUUUGUCCGGAAAGAAAUCCUUGGCUCUAAUACAGUCGGGGGAUGACGGUACCGGAAGAAUAAGCACCGGCUAACUACGUGCCAGCAGCCGCGGUAAUACGUAGGGUGCAAGCGUUAAUCGGAAUUACUGGGCGUAAAGCGUGCGCAGGCGGUUUGCUAAGACCGAUGUGAAAUCCCCGGGGCUCAACCUGGGAACUGCAUUGGUGACUGGCAGGCUAGAGUAUGGCAGAGGGGGGUAGAAUUCCACGUGUAGCAGUGAAAUGCGUAGAGAUGUGGAGGAAUACCGAUGGCGAAGGCAGCCCCCUGGGCCAAUACUGACGCUCAUGCACGAAAGCGUGGGGAGCAAACAGGAUUAGAUACCCUGGUAGUCCACGCCCUAAACGAUGUCAACUAGUUGUUGGGGAUUCAUUUCCUUAGUAACGUAGCUAACGCGUGAAGUUGACCGCCUGGGGAGUACGGUCGCAAGAUUAAAACUCAAAGGAAUUGACGGGGUCAUAGCUG
This 580-nucleotide ribosomal RNA is filed under the name uncultured bacterium. RNAcentral's name for it is "partial 16S ribosomal RNA". It matches the Rfam family "Bacterial small subunit ribosomal RNA", at positions 355 to 932 of the family's 1533-position model. The record is from RNAcentral.